RNAcentral lists this ribosomal RNA (220 nucleotides) under uncultured bacterium. Its description in RNAcentral is "partial 16S ribosomal RNA". It matches the Rfam family "Bacterial small subunit ribosomal RNA", at positions 57 to 305 of the family's 1533-position model. The record is from RNAcentral.
GCAAGUCGAGCGAGACCUUCGGGUCUAGCGGCGGACGGGUUAGUAACGCGUGGGAACAUACCCUUCACUAUGGAAUAGCCAUUGGAAACGAUGAGUAAUACCAUAUACGCCCUUCGGGGGAAAGAUUUAUCGGUGAAGGAUUGGCCCGCGUAAGAUUAGAUAGUUGGUGGGGUAAUGGCCUACCAAGUCUACGAUCUUUAGCUGGUUUUAGAGGAUGAUC